GGCUCGUCCGCCCAGGGUUAGUCGGGACCUAAGCCGAGGCCGAUAGGCGUAGGCGAUGGACAACAGGUUGAUAUUCCUGUACCAGUUGUUUUUGUUUGAGCAAUGGAGGGACGCAGUAGGCUAAGGAAUGCAUGCGAUUGGAAGUGCAUGUCCAAGCAAUGAGUCUUGAGUAGAGUUAAAUGCUUUACUCUCUAAGGACAAGUUGUGACGGGGAGCGAAAUAAUAGUAGCGAAGUUCCUGAUGUCACACUGCCAAGAAAAGCUUCUAGUGAGAAAACAACUGCCCGUACCGUAAACCGACACAGGUAGUCGAGGAGAGUAUCCUAAGGUGAGCGAGCGAACUCUCGUUAAGGAACUCGGCAAAAUGACCCCGUAACUUCGGGAGAAGGGGUGCUGACUUCGGUCAGCCGCAGUGAAUAGGCCCAAGCGACUGUUUAUCAAAAACACAGGUCUCUGCAAAAUCGUAAGAUGAAGUAUAGGGGCU
Molecule: ribosomal RNA, 483 nt
Filed under: Salmonella enterica subsp. enterica serovar Saintpaul
Lineage: Bacteria; Pseudomonadati; Pseudomonadota; Gammaproteobacteria; Enterobacterales; Enterobacteriaceae
Description: partial 23S ribosomal RNA
Rfam family: Bacterial large subunit ribosomal RNA
Source: RNAcentral